AUACUUGCUUUUAAAAAUCUAAUUAAAACUUUCUUUUUGGUCCUUAGGUAGAAAGAUGGCUCUGCUGAGAUGAGCUCUUAAUUAAUGCACUGAGAGCCUGCGAGUCCCACCUCUCAACAGGAAUGAUUGACGUCCAAGGAUACAUAAAUUACACUAAUUGAGCUCUGCCUCUAUAUAGCUUUCCACAGCCAACUCAUCAGAGAAGCUAGGCUUGUACCACAACCAAUAUCUCUGCUUGGCAACUCUAAUGAGCAAACUGCCACAAAACUGAGAGAGAACACGCCUUUUUGAUUUCCUGCUCUUCUAAGACAAAGUGAUUUAGAAUUUCUGCGCAAGCAAGAGAACUAAAGAAGAAAAGAGGAAAAGAAGGUAAGUCCCAGGAACUAAAAUGUCUCCAGUUUUAGAGGCUUCUUCAAAUAUGCAGCUUGUUCAUCUUGAC
Molecule: long non-coding RNA, 439 nt
Filed under: Aotus nancymaae (Ma's night monkey)
Lineage: Eukaryota; Metazoa; Chordata; Mammalia; Primates; Aotidae
Description: lncRNA (ENSANAG00000038922.1)
Source: RNAcentral